UCUCUCCCCCCUCGCCCUCUCUCUCAUUCUCUCCCUCCUCCUCCUCUCGGUGAGUCUCUAGGUGAGUCAAAAGCAGCCCCGAAUCAGGAAGUAGGAUGCCGUGACAGACAUUAGUAGGCAGAAGGAAAUGGGCACCACCACCACACAAUGUCACUAUGUCUGCUGCUGCCCCUGUCCAUGGUAACACAAGGACGAGAGGGAGGAGAGGCCACAGGGAAAUGACCCCAUCGUCGAUCAUGUUGCUGCUGGCUCUGACAGCCUGCCUGGCAGGGACUGGUAGUGUUCUGCCAGGGUGAUGAGACACAAAUACUGUUGAAGAAACACAAACAGAAAAUGAUGCUGGGUUCUCAGUGAUCCCAACUGUAAGUGACGCUACCCCUACACCAGACUCAUACCUAUCAUCUGAGAGUCCUUCAGAGGGAUAUGAGACUGAAGCUGAAUCUGGUUCUGGAUUCAGUACAGGUGUCAAUUCAGAAGGGGAGGAUCAGCUCAAAUCCUCUGAAGCACCACUGGAGGACAGUCUGAGUCUCACCUUCGUCCUGGUUCCUGUUGUGCUGGUGGUCGUGAUAAUCGCCAUGGUAGUGGGCGUAGUCAUAAUCAACCGCAGAUGGAAUCGGAAAGAAAAGAGCAAUUCUGAUCAUGUAGAAGAGGAUAAAUAUUUGCAUGGUAGCGAUGACACAGAAAACGUUCCAAUGCCCAUGUUUGAGGAUGAUGUCCCCUCUGUGUUGGAGCUGGAGAUGGAAGACCUGGAACAGUGGAUGAAUAAAGAUGGUGGAGUUCGAAUGGACUCUGGACAAGGGAUCUAACAUGAGAUCAUGGCUAGUCCCUAAAGAGUCAUGGAGUCAGUCAAUUCUCUCUCCCAACCGUCCUCUUGCUGUACUGCCGGUGACAAAGGACAUUUCCCCAUCGCAGGGAAGGACAUUCUGUUACCCAGCAGCACUGCAGGCUUCUUCUAUUCAUGUCAAUGUCAAGGCAAUGUCAUCAACCGACCACAUUGACAAUGAGAAAGCAACACCUCCACCAAGGUGACUGCAAAAAAACAGGAAAUGCUGAAUUUAUUUUCCAUUUCAGCAUAAACAAAAGACAAGUAACAAUAAAUGCACAAGUUAAACGUUCUUAGAACGUAACAUCUUCAAAUCUGCACACUCCACCGUCAAUUGUACUGUGGUAUAGACUCUAUGGAGAAACAGUGUGUGGCAAUAGUCCUUUCACUACACGGAUCCUGAUUGUGGUCGGCCUAAUAAUGAAUGCUUUUUGCAACGCCAUCAACUCAGUACAGUGCCUUUUUAGUCAUUGUUUCAAGUUCAUAUACACUUUUUAUGUGAUUGUUUUAUUGUCUUUUGUAUUCAGCUGUCAUGCAGUGAGAGAAGGAAUCAGUGAGAGAGGAAGGAGUAAAACACAGGAGGUUGGUGGCACCUUAAUUGAGGAGGAUGCGCUCGGGGUAAUGGCUGGAGCAGAAUGAGUGGAAUGCUAUCAAAUACAUCAGACACUUGGUUUCCAUGCGAUUGAUGCCGUUCCAUUCGCUCCGUUCCAGCCAUUAUUAUGAGCUGUCCUCCCUUCAGCAGCCUCCUGUGGAGUAAAACGUAUAAAACUAUUGCUGAAAGCAGGUGUCGGUAGCCAUGUUCUGACACCCAGACAACAAUAUCAGAACUUGACCUCCAAAGAUCCUACAGGCCCUCCCCUUUACAACAUAAACACAUAUUCCAUGCCCACAGUAAAGCCAUACCAGAUGGUAUAUAGUCUUAUUCCAACGGCCAACUAACCCAGUCCCAUGACAGAUAUAAUGGCUCUAACCCAGUCCCAUGAUAGAUAUGAUGGCUCUAACUCAGUCCCAUGAUAGAUAUGAUGGCUCUAACCCAGUCCCAUGAUAG
This is a non-coding RNA of Salvelinus sp. IW2-2015, 1871 nucleotides long. The record is from RefSeq and is a predicted model, not a curated record. Lineage: Eukaryota; Metazoa; Chordata; Actinopteri; Salmoniformes; Salmonidae.